AGAUUUUUAGUUUGGUAACCCGAGACUAAGGGAGCUACUCCAAGACAGCCUAAUAAUAGGGCACACCCGUCUCUGUUGCAAAAGAGUGGGGCGAGCUUUGAGUAGAGGUGACAAACCUACCGAACUUAGUUAUAGCUGGUUGCCCAAGAAAUGAAUAGAAGUUCAGCCUCCCGGAUUCUCCCUUCACCUCAGUGUACACAAGCCCCUGAUAUAUUAAGAAGCCGUGAGAGUUAUUCAAAGGGGGUACAGCCCCUUUGAAACAAGACACAACUUUCCCAGGUGGGUAAAGAUCACAAUAACACAAGGUAAGCAACUCUCGUGGCCCGAAAGCAGCCACCCCCUGAAGAAAGCGUCUAAGCUCGGAACAAUCUUACCCCUCCCCCAAUCCUGAUUAUUUAAUCUUACCCCCCUAAACUUAUUGAGCCUUCCCAUGCCCCCAUGGGAGUGACCAUGCUAAUAUGAGUAAUAAGAAGCCCAGGCUUUCUCCCCGCACGCAUGUAAAUCGGAAUGGACCCCCCCCGAAUAUUAACGGCCCCAAACAAAGAGGGCAGUGGGGGCAAAACUUAAACAACAGGAAAAACCCCCAACAACAACCGUUACCCCAACACAGUGGUGCCCCCAGGGAAAAACUAAAAGGGUGAGAAGGAACUUGGCAAAACACAUUAAAGCUUCGCCUGGUUACCAAAAAACAUUGGCUUUUUGCAAAUAAAUGAAAUAAGAGGGCCCGCCUGCCCUGUGACUAUAAGGUUAACGGCCGCGGUAUUUUGACCGCGCGAAGGUAGCGCAAUCACUUGUCUCUUAAAUGGAGACCUGUAUGAAUGGCACAACGAGGGCUUAGCUGUCUCCUCCCCUAAGUUAAUGAAAUUGAUCUCCCCGUGCAGAAGCGGGGAUAAACACAUAAGACGAGAAGACCCUAUGAAGCUUUAGACGUAAGGUAGCCCAAAAUACAAUAACCCCCUAAUAAGGGGCUAAACCAAAAGGCCCCCUACCCCGAUGUCUUUGGUUGGGGCGACCGCGGGGAAAGAAAAAACCCCCACGUGGAACGGGAGUACAACUCCUUAAACUAAGAGCCCCUGCUCUAAGAAACAAAAUUUUUGACCUACAGAUCCGGCAGCGCCGAUCAACGGACCGAGUUACUCUAGGGAUAACAGCGCAAUCCCCUUUUAGAGACCUUAUCAACAAGGGGGUUUACGACCUCGAUGUUGGAUCAGGA
RNAcentral lists this ribosomal RNA (1213 nucleotides) under Champsocephalus esox (pike icefish). RNAcentral describes it as "partial 16S ribosomal RNA". It matches the Rfam family "Bacterial large subunit ribosomal RNA", at positions 696 to 2542 of the family's 2925-position model. The record is from RNAcentral. Lineage: Eukaryota; Metazoa; Chordata; Actinopteri; Perciformes; Channichthyidae.